GGCCCUGUAGUUGAAAAACAACACUGAUUUGCAGCUUCAGAAGUGUACGCCUUACCGAGGCCU
RNAcentral lists this transfer RNA (63 nucleotides) under Pharyngocirrus uchidai. RNAcentral describes it as "tRNA-Cys". Lineage: Eukaryota; Metazoa; Annelida; Polychaeta; Saccocirridae. The record is from RNAcentral.